RNAcentral lists this ribosomal RNA (442 nucleotides) under uncultured bacterium. RNAcentral's name for it is "partial 16S ribosomal RNA". It matches the Rfam family "Bacterial small subunit ribosomal RNA", at positions 338 to 795 of the family's 1533-position model. The record is from RNAcentral.
CCUACGGGGGGCAGCAGUGGGGAAUAUUGCGCAAUGGGCGAAAGCCUGACCCAGCAACGCCGCGUGAAGGAAGAAGGCUUUCGGGUUGUAAACUUCUUUUAAGGGGGAAGAGCAGAAGACGGUACCCCUUGAAUAAGCCACGGCUAACUACGUGCCAGCAGCCGCGGUAAUACGUAGGUGGCAAGCGUUGUCCGGAUUUACUGGGUGUAAAGGGCGUGCAGCCGGAGAGACAAGUCAGAUGUGAAAUCCACGGGCUCAACCCGUGAACUGCAUUUGAAACUGUGUCCCUUGAGUGUCGGAGAGGUAAGCGGAAUUCCUGGUGUAGCGGUGAAAUGCGUAGAUAUAAGGAAGAACACCAGUGGCGAAGGCGGAUUACUGGACGAUAACUGACGGUGAGGCGCGAAAGCGUGGGGAGCAAACAGGAUUAGAUACCCCUGUAGUC